Molecule: long non-coding RNA, 2555 nt
Filed under: Olea europaea subsp. europaea
Lineage: Eukaryota; Viridiplantae; Streptophyta; Magnoliopsida; Lamiales; Oleaceae
Source: RNAcentral
CUUCCAUAUGGUAAUGUGAAGGAAAUUUUCGAAACUUGAAAAAAAAAGGGCUAUUAAGCACCGUAAUUGAUCACUUUGACGUUGCUAUGGUUUGAGACAUUUGUUUGCUUAACAAAAUUUGCUAUAUGAAAUCACAUCCCUGUUGGCUUAACAAUUUAUUGAAAAUCUUGUCCAGCCAAUUUGGUUGCAACACACGGAAGUAUGGAAGAUGCGAAUGAAGAUCCGUUAUUGUUGUCUGAUGAUGAGAUAGUUGGGGAUAAUAUCGAUAGUAUGGACAGAGAACCGUUAGGAGAAGAUAAAGAGGUUGCUCUGGAGGUAGGUAUGAUUUUCGAUGGUGAAAAAGAGUUGUUUGACUUUUAUAAGAGAUAUGCUUAUGCCGUCGGCUUUCCCGUGAAGAAAAGGAAUUCGAAAAAGGGUGACAAUGGAGUUGUUAGAUUUAUCACAUUCACAUGUAGCCGUGAAGGACGAAGAGGCAGUAACACAAGUAGUACUUUGAAGCCGCAACCAACAAGUCAAAUAGAUUGUAAAGCAAGAAUAUCUGCAUCUACAGAUAAAGUUGGGAAAUGGAGAAUUAACACCGUGUAUCUCGAGCAUAAUCAUAAAACAAGUCCUUCGAAGUCGAGGUUGUUUCGAUGUAACAGAGAAUUGACUGCAAAUGCGAAGAGAAAGCUUGAAUUAAAUGAUAUGGCAGGAAUUCCGUUGCACAAAAGUUACAACUCCGCAGUUGUGGAAGCAGGGGGGUAUAAUAAUUUGACUUAUGUUGAGAGGGAUUGUCGCAAAUAUAUUGAACAAGUAAGAAGGUUACGACUUGGAGAAGGAGACGCCGCAGCUUUACAAUCCUAAUUUUCAAAGAUGCAAGCACGGUGUUCGGGAUUUUAUUUCAGUAUGGAUUUGGAUGAUGAGUCACGGCUUCGAAAUAUAUUUUGGGCAGAUAACAGAUGUAGGCAAGCAUACAAGGAGUUUGGCGAUGUUGUUACCUUUGACACGACGUAUCUUACAAGUACGUACGACAUGCCUUUCGCUCCUUUUGUCGGAGUUAAUCACCAUGGACAAUCAAUACUGCUUGGUUGUGGUUUGUUGUCGAAUGAGAACACGGGUACAUUUGUGUGGCUGUUCAAGACAUGGCUCGAGUGCAUGCAUGGCCAGCCUCCCCACGGAAUAAUUACGGAUCAAGAUAGGGCCAUGCAGAAUGCGAUUGAGAUUGUGUUUCCAAAUACUAAACAUAAAUGGUGUUUAUGGCAUAUUAUGCAGAAGUUGCCAGAAAAAUUUGGCUAUCAUGUUGACAAAGGUUUGAUAUUCUCAUCUAUACACGAAUUGGUAUAUGAUUCCGAGAGUACUGAUGCAUUCGAAGAAGGUUGGAGAACGAUGGUCGAAAAGUUUGACUUGGAUGGCAAUGAUUGGUUGUCGGGCUUGUACGAUAACAGAAGUCGUUGGGUACCAUGCUUUCUGAAGACAACAUUCUGGGCAGGGAUGUCUACAACACAACGAAGUGAGAGCAUGAAUGCAUUUUUUGAUGGAUAUGUACAUUCGAAAACCUCAUUGAAGCAGUUUGUGGAACAGUAUGAAAGAGCACUUCGGAACAAGGUCGAGAAAGAGUUUCAGGCUGAUUUCAGGUCAUACUCACAAAUUGUGCCAUGUGCAACUGCCUUCGAAAUGGAAAAACAAUUUCAAUCAGUUUAUACAAUAUCCAAGUUUAAGGAAGUGCAAGAUGAGUUCGUAGGGAAGGUGUAUUGCGAUGUCGUUGCAGCUUCAGAUGGAUAUUUUGGGACAAAGUACGAGAUUCGAGAAUCUGUUGUAUAUCCUGAGGGCGGGAGGAAGAAAUCAUAUUUCGUGACAUUUCGAAUGAACACAAGUGAAGUUCUUUGCAGUUGCCAUUUGUUUGAGUUUCGAGGAAUUAUUUGUAGGCAUGCGAUCACAGUAUUAGAUCGUAAUGACAUCACGACAAUGUCGGAUAGGUAUAUAAUCAGCAGAUGGAGGAAAGACGUAAGCAGAGCACACACAAGAGUCGCGGUGAACUACGACGGGUUAGCUAGUACUCCAGAACAGAUUCGAUAUGAUGAUUUGUGUCAGACAUUUUCAGAGUUGGCGGACCUUGCUGCAAAUGAUGAAGGGCAGGCUCGUGUGGUAAAGGAUUGGAUAAAAUGUCAAACCGCAGAACUAAGGUCUUUAAAUUCGAGUAAUGGUAGUAAUGUUCUUUCCCAACCAAGUAUGCAUUUACAAGGCCAAUGUAAUAAUUCAGAAAGUCCUGGCGGCGUGAAUGUAUUUGAUCCUAAAACAUCGAAUAGAAAGGGCACGCCAAGGAAACUUAGGAGGAAAAGUGCGUUGAAGUCCACUUCAAAGAAGGCUAAGGUAAGUUGCUUUACUAAUCUCGUCAAAUAGAAAAGGAGCUUUGCUAUGAAAUCUUAUUUCUUUCCACGUACAUGCACAUGGUACUUCAAAUAAAUCCAAAGGAAAGAGACUACCACCUAGCCGUACCGAUAUGGAAGAGGCUACAUCGGUCCUUCAGUUAUCUGGACGAAUUGAAGAUUCUCAGCCUACCCAAUUUUCAUAUUCAU